AACCUAGCACACCUGCGGUGUGUACCUGCGGAGGGAUCAUUACCAAUUAUAUAUGUUAGUUUGCGUAUCUCUGUCAAAGGGGGUCGCAUAACUACUAUGUAAACGUUGAACUAGAUCAAUUGGUGUGGAUUGCUUGGGAAUGGACGAAGCGACAAGCCUCUUCCGGACAGGCAAGCCCCACACUGAUAACCUUUUUCAUAUCAUUUACUCGUAUAUACCACAACAACAAAAAAUCUUAUA
This 240-nucleotide unclassified non-coding RNA is filed under the name soil metagenome. Its description in RNAcentral is "partial contains 5.8S ribosomal RNA, internal transcribed spacer 2, and large subunit ribosomal RNA". The record is from RNAcentral.